Molecule: ribosomal RNA, 1412 nt
Filed under: uncultured bacterium
Lineage: Bacteria
Description: bacterial SSU rRNA
Rfam family: Bacterial small subunit ribosomal RNA
Source: RNAcentral
AGAGUUUGAUCCUGGCUCAGGAUGAACGCUGGCGGCGUGCCUAAUACAUGCAAGUCGAACGCAUUGAGAAAAGUGCUUGCACUUUUCAAUUUGAGUGGCGAACGGGUGAGUAACACGUGGGCAACCUACCUGAUAGCGGGGGAUAACGAGUGGAAACAUUCGCUAAUACCGCAUAACAAUAGAGAAGGCAUCUUCUUUAUUUAAAAGGCGCUUUCAAGCGUCACUAUCAGAUGGGCCCGCGGUGCAUUAGUUAGUUGGUGGGGUGAAGGCCUACCAAGACGAUGAUGCAUAGCCGAGUUGAGAGACUGAUCGGCCACAUUGGGACUGAGACACGGCCCAAACUCCUACGGGAGGCUGCAGUAGGGAAUCUUCCACAAUGGACGAAAGUCUGAUGGAGCAACGCCGCGUGUGUGAUGAAGGCUUUCGGGUCGUAAAGCACUGUUGUAUGGGAAGAAAUGCUAGGCUAGGAAAUGAGCUUAGUUUGACGGUACCAUACCAGAAAGGGACGGCUAAAUACGUGCCAGCAGCCGCGGUAAUACGUAUGUCCCAAGCGUUAUCCGGAUUUAUUGGGCGUAAAGCGAGCGCAGACGGUUGAUUAAGUCUGAUGUGAAAGCCCGGGGCUCAACCCCGGAAUGGCAUUGGAAACUGGUCGACUUGAGUGCAGUAGAGGUAAGUGGAACUCCAUGUGUAGCGGUGGAAUGCGUAGAUAUAUGGAAGAACACCAGUGGCGAAGGCGGCUUACUGGACUGCAACUGACGUUGAGGCUCGAAAGUGUGGGUAGCAAACAGGAUUAGAUACCCUGGUAGUCCACACCGUAAACGAUGGAUACUAGGUGUUAGGGGGUUUCCGCCCCUUAGUGCCGGAGCUAACGCAUUAAGUAUCCCGCCUGGGGAGUACGCACGCAAGUGUGAAACUCAAAGGAAUUGACGGGGACCCGCACAAGCGGUGGAGCAUGUGGUUUAAUUCGAAGCAACGCGAAGAACCUUACCAGGUCUUGACAUCCUUUGAAGUGAUUAGAAAUAGUCAUGUUCUCUUCGGAGACAAAGUGACAGGUGGUGCAUGGUCGUCGUCAGCUCGUGUCGUGAGAUGUUGGGUUAAGUCCCGCAACGAGCGCAACCCUUAUGUUUAGUUGCCAGCAUUCAGUUGGGCACUCUAGACAGACUGCCGGUGACAAACCGGAGGAAGGUGGGGAUGACGUCAGAUCAUCAUGCCCCUUAUGACCUGGGCUACACACGUGCUACAAUGGCGUAUACAACGAGUUGCCAACCAGCGAUGGUGAGCUAAUCUCUUAAAGUACGUCUCAGUUCGGAUAGGAGUCUGCAACUCGACUCCUUGAAGUCGGAAUCGCUAGUAAUCGCGGAUCAGCACGCCGCGGUGAAUACGUUCCCGGGUCUUGCACUCACCGCCCGUCA